Molecule: ribosomal RNA, 500 nt
Filed under: uncultured bacterium
Lineage: Bacteria
Description: partial 16S ribosomal RNA
Rfam family: Bacterial small subunit ribosomal RNA
Source: RNAcentral
AUUGAACGCUGGCGGCAUGCUUUACACAUGCAAGUCGAACGGUAACAGGGUGCUUGCACCGCUGACGAGUGGCGAACGGGUGAGUAGUGCGUCGGAACGUGCCGAGUAGUGGGGGAUAACGCAGCGAAAGUUGUGCUAAUACCGCAUACGUACUGAGGUAGAAAGUGGGGGACCUUCGGGCCUCACGCUAUUCGAGCGGCCGACGUCUGAUUAGCUAGUAGGUGAGGUAAAGGCUCACCUAGGCGACGAUCAGUAGCGGGUCUGAGAGGAUGAUCCGACACACUUGGACUGAGACACGGCCCAGACUCCUACGGGAGGCAGCAGUGGGGAAUUUUGGACAAUGGGCGAAAGCCUGAUCCAGCCAUGCCGCGUGUCUGAAGAAGGCCUUCGGGUUGUAAAGGACUUUUGUCAGGGAGGAAAUCCCUAGUGCUAAUAACACUGGGGGAUGACAGUACCUGAAGAAUAAGCACCGGCUAACUACGUGCCAGCAGCCGCCGUAA